Molecule: ribosomal RNA, 734 nt
Filed under: Moritella sp. PE36
Lineage: Bacteria; Pseudomonadati; Pseudomonadota; Gammaproteobacteria; Alteromonadales; Moritellaceae
Description: bacterial LSU rRNA
Rfam family: Bacterial large subunit ribosomal RNA
Source: RNAcentral
UACCACCCUUGUACGUUUGAUGUUCUAACGUAGGUCCCUUAUCGGGAUUGCGGACAGUGUCUGGUGGGUAGUUUGACUGGGGCGGUCUCCUCCCAAAGAGUAACGGAGGAGCACGAAGGUUGGCUAAACAUGGUUGGACAUCAUGUGGUUAGUGCAAAGGCAUAAGCCAGCUUAACUGCGAGACAGACACGUCGAGCAGGUACGAAAGUAGGUCUUAGUGAUCCGGUGGUUCUGAAUGGAAGGGCCAUCGCUCAACGGAUAAAAGGUACUCCGGGGAUAACAGGCUGAUACCGCCCAAGAGUUCAUAUCGACGGCGGUGUUUGGCACCUCGAUGUCGGCUCAUCACAUCCUGGGGCUGAAGUUGGUCCCAAGGGUAUGGCUGUUCGCCAUUUAAAGUGGUACGCGAGCUGGGUUUAGAACGUCGUGAGACAGUUCGGUCCCUAUCUGCCGUGGGCGUUUGAGAAUUGAGAGGAGCUGCUCCUAGUACGAGAGGACCGGAGUGGACGAACCACUGGUGUUCGGGUUGUCAUGCCAAUGGCAUUGCCCGGUAGCUAAGUUCGGAACUGAUAACCGCUGAAAGCAUCUAAGCGGGAAGCAGGCCUCGAGAUGAGUUCUCACUGGAGCUUUAAGCUCCCUGAAGGGCCGUUGGAGACUACAACGUUGAUAGGCAAGGUGUGUAAGUGCUGUGAGGCAUUGAGCUAACUUGUACUAAUUACCCGUGAGGCUUAACCAUA